RNAcentral lists this ribosomal RNA (487 nucleotides) under Mycolicibacterium litorale. RNAcentral describes it as "bacterial SSU rRNA". It matches the Rfam family "Bacterial small subunit ribosomal RNA", at positions 379 to 875 of the family's 1533-position model. The record is from RNAcentral. Lineage: Bacteria; Bacillati; Actinomycetota; Actinomycetes; Mycobacteriales; Mycobacteriaceae.
AAGCCUGAUGCAGCGACGCCGCGUGGGGGAUGACGGCCUUCGGGUUGUAAACCUCUUUCAGUAGGGACGAAGCGCAAGUGACGGUACCUACAGAAGAAGGACCGGCCAACUACGUGCCAGCAGCCGCGGUAAUACGUAGGGUCCGAGCGUUGUCCGGAAUUACUGGGCGUAAAGAGCUCGUAGGUGGUUUGUCGCGUUGUUCGUGAAAACCGGGGGCUUAACCCUCGGCGUGCGGGCGAUACGGGCAGACUGGAGUACUGCAGGGGAGACUGGAAUUCCUGGUGUAGCGGUGGAAUGCGCAGAUAUCAGGAGGAACACCGGUGGCGAAGGCGGGUCUCUGGGCAGUAACUGACGCUGAGGAGCGAAAGCGUGGGGAGCGAACAGGAUUAGAUACCCUGGUAGUCUACGUCUUUAAACGGUGGGUACUAGGUGUGGGUUUCCUUCCUUGGGAUCCGUGCCGUAGCUAACGCAUUAAGUACCCCGCCUG